RNAcentral lists this ribosomal RNA (603 nucleotides) under Vibrio alginolyticus. RNAcentral's name for it is "bacterial SSU rRNA". It matches the Rfam family "Bacterial small subunit ribosomal RNA", at positions 439 to 1034 of the family's 1533-position model. Lineage: Bacteria; Pseudomonadati; Pseudomonadota; Gammaproteobacteria; Vibrionales; Vibrionaceae. The record is from RNAcentral.
UUCGUGAGGAAGGUGGUGUAGUUAAUAGCUGCAUUACUUGACGUUAGCGACAGAAGAAGCACCGGCUAACUCCGUGCCAGCAGCCGCGGUAAUACGGAGGGUGCGAGCGUUAAUCGGAAUUACUGGGCGUAAAGCGCAUGCAGGUGGUUUGUUAAGUCAGAUGUGAAAGCCCGGGGCUCAACCUCGGAAUAGCAUUUGAAACUGGCAGACUAGAGUACUGUAGAGGGGGGUAGAAUUUCAGGUGUAGCGGUGAAAUGCGUAGAGAUCUGAAGGAAUACCGGUGGCGAAGGCGGCCCCCUGGACAGAUACUGACACUCAGAUGCGAAAGCGUGGGGAGCAAACAGGAUUAGAUACCCUGGUAGUCCACGCCGUAAACGAUGUCUACUUGGAGGUUGUGGCCUUGAGCCGUGGCUUUCGGAGCUAACGCGUUAAGUAGACCGCCUGGGGAGUACGGUCGCAAGAUUAAAACUCAAAUGAAUUGACGGGGGCCCGCACAAGCGGUGGAGCAUGUGGUUUAAUUCGAUGCAACGCGAAGAACCUUACCUACUCUUGACAUCCAGAGAACUUUCCAGAGAUGGAUUGGUGCCUUCGGGAACUCUGAGA